GUUGGAUAACUGAGGUAAUUCUUGAGCUAAUACACGCUAUUUAUACCACAUUAGUGGUGCGUUUAUUUGAUUAAACCAUUUUAUAUUGGUUGACUCAAAAUAUCCUCGCUGAUUUUGUUACUAAAACAUACCGUAUGUGUAUCUGGUUUAUCAACUUUCGAUGGUAGGGUAUUGGCCUACCAUGGUUGUGACGGAUAACGGAGAAUUAGGGUUCGACUCCGGAGAGGGAGCCUGAGAAACGGCUACCACAUCCAAGGAAGGCAGCAGGCGCGAAAAUUACCCAAUUUUAGUUAAAAGAGGUAGUGACGAAAAAUGACAACCAAAUAUUAUUAUUAAUAUUUGGAUUGAAAAUCUUCAAGUAUAAAUAACUUGUUGGUAAAGGAAAGGGCAAGUCUGGUGCCAGCAGCCGCGGUAAUACCAGCUUUCCAAGUGCAUAAAAUGAUUGUUGUGGUUAAAAAGCUCGUAGUUGGAUUAUAAAGAUUGUAUAAUGAGCAUCUUGGAUGUUAUUUAAUCAUUAUCAUCUUAUAUUUUUAUUAUAUUAGAAAUAAUAUAAUAACUGUUACUUUGAAUAAAUCAGAGGGUUUAAACCAGACAUUAUAUGUUUGUAUGGUCUAGCAUGGAAUAACACUAUAGAAAAAUUUAGUGUGGUUUCACUUAAUUUUUCAUGAUUAAUAGGAACAAACGGGGGCAUUCGUAUCGCUACGUUAGAGGUGAAAUUCUUGGACCGUAGCGAGACGUCCUACUGCGAAAGCAUUUGCCAAGAAUGUUUCAUAAUCAAGAACGAAAGUUAGAGGUUCGAAGGCGAUCAGAUACCGCCCUAGUUCUAACCGUAAACUAUGCCUACUAGAUGUAUGAAUUAUUAGUUAUAAUAAUUUAUGCAUCUUCUCGGAAACGAAAGUCUUUCGGUUCCGGGGGAAGUAUGGUUGCAAAGCUGAAACUUAAAGGAAUUGACGGAAGGGCACCACCAGGAGUGGAGCCUGCGGCUUAAUUUGACUCAACACGGGAAAACUCACCCGGGCCGGACACUAUAAGGAUUGACAGAUUGAUAGCUCUUUCAUGAUUUAGUGGUUGGUGGUGCAUGGCCGUUCUUAGUUCGUGGAUAUGAUUUGUCUGGUUGAUUCCGAUAACGAGCGAGACUUUUAUGUUAUAUUAAAUAUUAUUAUUUUGUUUAUUUUAAUAUAAAUAAUUAAUAUUUUAAUAACAGAUUAAUAGUGUUUAACUAUUUGAGAGAGAGCGAUAACAGGUCUGUGA
This 1251-nucleotide ribosomal RNA is filed under the name Strongyloides stercoralis. RNAcentral describes it as "SSU rRNA". It matches the Rfam family "Eukaryotic small subunit ribosomal RNA", at positions 138 to 1467 of the family's 1831-position model. Lineage: Eukaryota; Metazoa; Nematoda; Chromadorea; Rhabditida; Strongyloididae. The record is from RNAcentral.